UGAUUUUAAAAUUUAAUAGCUGCAGUAUUUUAACUGUACUAAGGUAGCAUAAUCAAUAGUUUUUUAAUUGAAAGCUGGAAUGAAUGGUUUUAUGAAAUAAAAACUUUUUUAAUGUUAAUUAAAUUAAAAUUUUAUUAUUAGUUAAAAAUCUAAUAUAAUUAUAAAAGACGAGAAGACCCUUUAGAUUUUUAUAUUAUUAGGAUAAAAAUAAUUAAAUUAUUUAAAUUUAUCUAAAUUAAUAUUUGAUUGGGGUGAUUAAUAAAUUUAAAAAACUUUAAUGUGUUAAAACAAUAAUUAUUGAUUAUUUGAUCUUGAAUUUUAGAUUAAAAGAAUAAAAUACCUAAGGGAUAACAGCGUAAUUUUUUUAGAAAGUUCUUAUUAAUAAAAAAGAUUGCGACCUCGAUGUUGAAUUAAGAAAAAAUUUAAAUGGAGAAAUUUAAAAUUUUUGGUCUGUUCGACCAUUAAAAUCUUACGUGAUCU
This 480-nucleotide ribosomal RNA is filed under the name Mesochorus sp. BFS-2018. Its description in RNAcentral is "partial 16S large subunit ribosomal RNA". The stretch from base 347 to 480 matches the Rfam family "Archaeal large subunit ribosomal RNA", at positions 2542 to 2675 of the family's 2987-position model. Lineage: Eukaryota; Metazoa; Arthropoda; Insecta; Hymenoptera; Ichneumonidae. The record is from RNAcentral.